GGGGGUAGUUGGCGGUCUGGUGACGCUCCUGGACUUCAAAUCCAGUGGUGGGCGCGAUCCGUCCACGGUGGGUUCGAUUCCCAUCUACUCCCGCCA
RNAcentral lists this transfer RNA (96 nucleotides) under Bacillota bacterium. Its description in RNAcentral is "Firmicutes bacterium (anaerobic digester metagenome) tRNA-Sec". It matches the Rfam family "Selenocysteine transfer RNA". Lineage: Bacteria; Bacillati; Bacillota. The record is from RNAcentral.